UUUUUAUUACUUUAUUAUUUCAUUAUCAUUUGUACUUAUCUCUACUAUUGAAUAUAAAUAUAUAUUAUUUAUCUGUAUUUUAAAAAUAAAAUAGUUUAGAUUGAAAAAAUUAUAAAUUUUUUUUCCAAAAACAUAAGUCAAAAUAAAAAAAAAAAAAAAACUAAAAUAAUUUGGUGGUAUAGGUAAGUUAGGAAAUUUUUUAUUUUGGUUCCUCUAAAUUAUCUUUUACUGAGUCUUUAUAUCUCACUUUUU
Molecule: long non-coding RNA, 252 nt
Filed under: Lathyrus oleraceus (garden pea)
Lineage: Eukaryota; Viridiplantae; Streptophyta; Magnoliopsida; Fabales; Fabaceae
Description: Pisum sativum (pea) long non-coding RNA (PSAT_LNC004257)
Source: RNAcentral